RNAcentral lists this transfer RNA (74 nucleotides) under bacterium. RNAcentral describes it as "tRNA-Asp". It matches the Rfam family "tRNA". Rfam says of the family: Transfer RNA (tRNA) molecules are approximately 80 nucleotides in length. Their secondary structure includes four short double-helical elements and three loops (D, anti-codon, and T loops). RNAcentral also lists the same sequence under 5 other names. The record is from RNAcentral.
GGAGCGGUAGUUCAGCUGGUUAGAACGCCUGCCUGUCACGCAGGAGGUCGCGGGUUCGAGUCCCGUCCGUUCCG